AACCCUCGUCGCUAGUAAUUUCUCUAGCGAGACUGCCCGUAUAACGUGGAGGAAGGUGGGGAUGGCGUCAAGUCAGCAUGGCCCUUACACCCUGGGCGACACACACGCUACAAUGGGUGGUACAGCGGGUUGCUAAGGAGCAAUCCGGAGCUAAUCCCUGAAAAACCAUCCUCAGUUCAGAUUGCAGGCUGAAACUGCCUGCAUGAAGUAGGAGUUGCUAGUAACCGCGGGUCAGCACACCGCGGUGAAUACGUUCUCGGGCCUU
Molecule: ribosomal RNA, 265 nt
Filed under: uncultured Chloroflexota bacterium
Lineage: Bacteria; Bacillati; Chloroflexota
Description: uncultured Chloroflexi bacterium partial 16S ribosomal RNA
Rfam family: Bacterial small subunit ribosomal RNA
Source: RNAcentral